Molecule: long non-coding RNA, 296 nt
Filed under: Elaeis guineensis (African oil palm)
Lineage: Eukaryota; Viridiplantae; Streptophyta; Magnoliopsida; Arecales; Arecaceae
Description: long non-coding RNA (EGUI_LNC065326)
Source: RNAcentral
GUCUUCAAUGUUUUCUCUCCUUGCUUCCUUCAUCUUCCAUGCCUAAGAUCUGAUAAAAAUUAGAUCUAAUAAGAGAAAAGAGAGAGAAGAAGAGAAGAGGAAGGAUUCUUCUUCUCUUCAUGAUGAUUUGGUUCAGAUCUCAUCGGAUCUGUAUGAAAGAGUUCGCGCAGUGAUUUUCUUCUUCAAAAUCUGGAAGAAGAGAUCUAGAUCCAAAGAUAAGGAGUGAGAUCUAUAAGGUACUAGCACAUCGAUGAUCUCGAUGCUCUGAUCAAAUAUCUCCAUGUGGAUAUCAACAG